RNAcentral lists this ribosomal RNA (1342 nucleotides) under metagenome. RNAcentral describes it as "bacterial LSU rRNA". It matches the Rfam family "Bacterial large subunit ribosomal RNA", at positions 1566 to 2925 of the family's 2925-position model. The record is from RNAcentral.
UGCGUACUUACUUUCGAGUAAGUAUUUUUUAUCUAUCAUGCUUCCAAGAAAAGCUCGAACUACUUUUAAAUAUAAAAUACCUGUACCGUAAACCGACACAGGUGGGUUAGUAGAGUAUACUAAGGGGCGCGAGAUAACUCUCCCUAAGGAACUCGGCAAAAUGACCCCGUAACUUCGGGAGAAGGGGUGCCCUCUCUAAAAGAGGGCCGCAGUGACCAGGCCCUGGCGACUGUUUAUCAAAAACAUAGGUCUCCGCAAAGUCGUAAGACAACAUAUGGGGGCUGACGCCUGCCCAGUGCCGGAAGGUUAAGGAAGUAGGUUAGAAUUUAUUCGAAGCUCACGACCGAAGCCCCGGUGAACGGCGGCCGUAACAAUAACGGUCCUAAGGUAGCGAAAUUCCUUGUCGGGUAAGUUCCGACCCGCACGAAAGGCGUAACGAUCAGGGCACUGUCUCGGAGAGAGACUCGGUGAAAUAGACAUGUCUGUGAAGAUGCGGACUACUUGCACUUGGACAGAAAGACCCUAUGAAGCUUGACUGUAGCUUGGAAUUGGGUUCGGGUUUUUCUUGCGCAGACUAGGUGGGAGGCUAUGAAAAAAUACUUCUGGGUAUUUUAGAGCCAUCAGUGAGAGACCACUCUGGAAAAGCUAGAAUUCUAAUGGCGUUCCUUGAAGCAGGACGCUUGACAGUUUCAGGUGGGCAGUUUGACUGGGGCGGUCACCUCCUAAAAGGUAACGGAGGUGUGCAAAGGUUCCCUCAGGCUGGACGGAAAUCAGCCGUAGAGUGUAAAGGCAGAAGGGAGCUUGACUGCAAGACCUACAAGUCGAGCAGGGGCGAAAGCCGGCCUUAGUGAUCCGACGGUUCCGUGUGGAAGGGCCGUCGCUAAACGGAUAAAAGUUACUCUAGGAUAACAGGCUGAUCUUCCCCAAGAGUUCACAUCGACGGGAAGGUUUGGCACCUCGAUGUCGGCUCAUCGCAACCUGGGGCGGUAGUACGUCCCGAGGGUUGGGCUGUUCGCCCAUGAAAGCGGUACGUGAGCUGGGUUCAGAACGUCGUGAGACAGUUCGGUCCAUAUCCGGUGUAAGCGUUGGAGCACUGAGAGGAUUCUUCCAUAGUACGAGAGGACCUGGAAGAACACACCUCUGGUAUACCAGUUAUCACGCCAGUGGUAAACGCUGGGUAGCCAAGUGUGGAGUGGAUAACCGCUGAAGGCAUCUAAGUGGGAAGCCCACCUCAAGAUGAGUGCUCCCUAUGAGGUCACGGCAAGACCAGCCGUUUGAUAGGCAGUAGGUGUACGCCUAGUAAUAGGUUUAGCUGAGCUGUACUAAUAGACCCAUUGAUUUU